AUUGAACGCUGGCGGAAUGCUUUACACAUGCAAGUCGAACGGCAGCACGGGGGCAACCCUGGUGGCGAGUGGCGAACGGGUGAGUAAUGUAUCGGAACGUGCCCAGUCGUGGGGGAUAACGUAGUGAAAAUUACGCUAAUACCGCAUACGAUCUACGGAUGAAAGCGGGGGAUCGCAAGACCUCGCGCGAUUGGAGCGGCCGAUAUCAGAUUAGGUAGUUGGUGGGGUAAAGGCUCACCAAGCCGACGAUCUGUAGCUGGUCUGAGAAGACGACCAGCCACACUGGAACUGAGACACGGUCCAGACUCCUACGGGAGGCAGCAGUGGGGAAUUUUGGACAAUGGGCGCAAGCCUGAUCCAGCCAUUCCGCGUGCAGGAUGAAGGCCCUCGGGUUGUAAACUGCUUUUGUACGGAGCGAAAAGGCUCUCUCUAAUACAGGGGCUCAUGACGGUACCGUAAGAAUAAGCACCGGCUAACUACGUG
This 483-nucleotide ribosomal RNA is filed under the name uncultured bacterium. RNAcentral describes it as "bacterial SSU rRNA". It matches the Rfam family "Bacterial small subunit ribosomal RNA", at positions 30 to 507 of the family's 1533-position model. The record is from RNAcentral.